This 295-nucleotide long non-coding RNA is filed under the name Elaeis guineensis (African oil palm). Its description in RNAcentral is "long non-coding RNA (EGUI_LNC041675)". Lineage: Eukaryota; Viridiplantae; Streptophyta; Magnoliopsida; Arecales; Arecaceae. The record is from RNAcentral.
CACCAUGUGAUUUGCAAGUAACUCACUAUACUUUGGUGCCAGACUAACAAAGUUUCUAAUUCAAUGACAAAAGAUUUUUGGGUGCAGUCAAGUACUUGUCAAGUUAGUGGUGAGUCAAAAUGUGAUUGACCCCUCCGAAUUAGUGGGAGAUAUGCAUCAGUGUAUUUCAAUUUAGCAAAAUUUGAGCCCGAAUAAUCCAUGUGAUGGAUUUGAAAAAGAUUGUAAUACAAUAUGGAUGACUUAUCUAUAAUUGACAGUUAAAUCUUGGGUCAUCCUCGAGUAUUAGGGUCAAAGG